Rhopalosiphum maidis (corn leaf aphid) is the source of this 1653-nucleotide RNA transcript. It is a transcript of the gene named breast cancer metastasis-suppressor 1-like protein, with no coding region annotated. The record is from RefSeq and is a predicted model, not a curated record. Lineage: Eukaryota; Metazoa; Arthropoda; Insecta; Hemiptera; Aphididae. The transcript has 7 exons.
GUUGGCCCAUACUAUACCUAUAUUUCAUAUUACACAAAACUCACGAUCACUGUUAUCCGUUAUCAGAAAUAUUUUAUUUCAGAUAUUUCAGUUGUAACACUGCUUAGUUUAGUAGGUAGUUAGUAAACAAAAUUAUUGCUCUCAUUAGAUUUUUCGUUUGGACUGCUCACUUCGCUUACGUUUUACUUUUCGUAAUAUCGUUAUUACUUUUUUGAAAUAAUAGUGAGUUUUAAUUGGUAUUUUUUUUUUAAAUGUUUAAUUUACUUAAAUAAACUUUAAGUGCUGUGAAUUUAAUUGACUAAAUUAACAAACGUAACUUUCUACUUUUCAUAUGUACAAUUUUAAUGAAAUAAAGUUUAAAAAUGCGCGUUGAUUGGACAUUCUAGACCAAUGUAUUACGCAUCAAUUAAGUAAUAAUUCUGGAUUUCUAACGAUGUCUACAGCUACAAGUGAUAAUUCAGACAUCAUUAGUAAAAUUCAAAAAAUAGCUGAAGAAAGUGGAAACAACGUUUUAGUGCGUAAAAUUGUGUGUACUGAAAAAAUUAUAGACAUUCCUUACAAUAAGAAAAAAUAUUCUGAAAUAUCCAUAUCAUCGUUAAGUAGUUCUUCAGAGUCAAAUAUUUCAGAUUCUGAUACUGACAAUAGUUCAGAUUUGAACAGCGACGUGAACGAAAAAUUACAGGACAAGUGUGACGAACAAGUACAAAAUAUUGAAACACAUUUUUAUUUCUUAAAAGAAAUGUUGUAUAGUGAAAGAAUAAGAGAAGUUGAAGAGAAGUUAGUUGAAGUGAGAUUAGGUACAGCUAAAGAAUACCGUAUACCUUUACAAGAAUUACAAGAUCAAAUGAAAUCUCGACUUGAAGUAGCAUCUGUACUAAGACAAUUUAAAUUAACAAAUUUAAAACAUAAAUAUGAAGCAGAAGAACAAGCAAUAAGACAAAAUUUUGAGAAUAAUAAAGAAAUUUUAUAUGAUACUAUAAAAGCUGAUUUAGAAGAAAAAAUUCAGCGAUUAGAAGAAGCACGUAAUGAAGUAGAUAUAGAUGCCUCUCUUUGGUUAGGUCGUAGUUUAACUCGUAGUGGACGAGGACGUGGAAGACGUCCAUAUGGGCAUGUACAACCCAAGCGGAAACCUGUUAUUGUAUCUGGACCAUGUAUAGUGUACAACCUUAGAGAACAUGAAAUACUUGAAGAUUGGACCACAAUCAAAAAAUUGUUAUCAUCAUCAAAACGAAAAGAAAAUGCAGUGCAACGAUAUAAACCAUAUGAAUACUGCAAUAAAGUAUUUCAACUGAUUACAACAUACGGAAACAUCAACAUUGGUUAUACUAUUAAUUUAUUUUUAUAGUCAUUAAACAUUUACCCGAAUCUCCAACAACCAACACUUUAACGCUGUCGGUUGAAGCCAUUGAAAUCUCCAUUUUUAAAAGAAAAUUUAAACGGCGACUCAAUGUUGUUUAGCAACUGAAAUAUUGGAAAUAGAAUAUUUUAAACUCCACAACAAUAGUGAUUAUAUUCGUAUCAUGAGUAGAGCAUAAUGGGCAUAUUUUGUUUAUUACAUGGAUAUGUCCGGUCUAUCGAGAUAUAAACGCUCGCUACAAUUUUCCUUUUAUUUAGCCAUUGGCUACACUGUAAACGUUCCCACCCACUACGAAU